GACAAGCGGUGGAGUAUGUGGUUUAAUUCGAUGCAACGCGAAGAACCUUACCUGGUCUUGACAUCCCGGAGACCCUUAGGAACUAGGGGUGCUUCCAUCUGGAAGAAUCUGGAGACAGGUGCUGCAUGGCUGUCGUCAGCUCGUGUCGUGAGAUGUUGGGUUAAGUCCCGCAACGAGCGCAACCCUUGCCUUUAGUUGCCAGCAGUUCGGCUGGGCACUCUAAAGGGACUGCCGGUGUUAAACCGGAGGAAGGUGGGGAUGACGUCAAGUCCUCAUGGCCUUUAUGACCAGGGCUACACACGUACUACAAUGGCCGAUACAAAGGGCAGCGACACUGCGAGGUGAAGCCAAUCCCGUAAAAUCGGUCUCAGUCCGGAUUGGAGUCUGCAACUCGACUCCAUGAAGUUGGAAUCGCUAGUAAUCGUGGAUCAGCAUGCCACGGUGAAUACGUUCCCGGGCCUU
RNAcentral lists this ribosomal RNA (462 nucleotides) under uncultured Desulfobulbus sp. Its description in RNAcentral is "bacterial SSU rRNA". It matches the Rfam family "Bacterial small subunit ribosomal RNA", at positions 924 to 1382 of the family's 1533-position model. Lineage: Bacteria; Pseudomonadati; Thermodesulfobacteriota; Desulfobulbia; Desulfobulbales; Desulfobulbaceae. The record is from RNAcentral.